This 497-nucleotide ribosomal RNA is filed under the name uncultured bacterium. RNAcentral's name for it is "partial 16S ribosomal RNA". It matches the Rfam family "Bacterial small subunit ribosomal RNA", at positions 28 to 507 of the family's 1533-position model. The record is from RNAcentral.
GAUGAACGCUGGCGGCGUGCCUAAUACAUGCAAGUCGAGCGAACAGAUGAGGAGCUUGCUCCUCUGACGUUAGCGGCGGACGGGUGAGUAACACGUGGAUAACCUACCUAUAAGACUGGGAUAACUUCGGGAAACCGGAGCUAAUACCGGAUAAUAUAUUGAACCGCAUGGUUCAAUAGUGAAAGACGGUUUUGCUGUCACUUAUAGAUGGAUCCGCGCCGCAUUAGCUAGUUGGUAAGGUAACGGCUUACCAAGGCAACGAUGCGUAGCCGACCUGAGAGGGUGAUCGGCCACGCUGGAACUGAGACACGGUCCAGACUUCUACGGGAGGCAGCAGUAGGGAAUCUUCCGCAAUGGGCGAAAGCCUGACGGAGCAACGCCGCGUGAGUGAUGAAGGUCUUCGGAUCGUAAAACUCUGUUAUUAGGGAAGAACAAAUGUGUAAGUAACUAUGCACGUCUUGACGGUACCUAAUCAGAAAGCCACGGCUAACUACGUG